Molecule: small nuclear RNA, 106 nt
Organism: Choloepus hoffmanni (Hoffmann's two-fingered sloth)
Lineage: Eukaryota; Metazoa; Chordata; Mammalia; Pilosa; Megalonychidae
Source: Ensembl
GUGCUUGCUUUAGCAGCACGUAUACUAAAACUGGAACAUAACAGAGAAGAUUAGCAUUGCCCUGCACAAAGAUGACAUGCAAAUUUGCAAAGUGUUCCAUGUUUUU